CGUAGUUCGUCGACAAGCGUUAAUUUUAUGUCGAAAUCGGAGCAUCCUAGAAAGACGGUGCACAUUUUCACUGACACGUGUCAUUCCACCAAAUAUUCACCGAAUAUAAAAUGCUUUCUAACAAUAAAGAACACCACUAUUGCACUCGAGGAAUAUAAGACGAACCAGGAAAUGAGGCGAUCGUGCACCUCGAAUCACGUUACUCGAGACGAACUGAAGAAACAAUCUGUCAAUCCUUCGUGAACAAAUAAUACGAUAAAUUUAAUUUAACGUGUUUUCUAAUAAAUAAAUACAUUUAAUUCCUCGUUGUUUUAGCUGAACUUCACCAGCGACAAUUCCAACGUACAGUCCUUGCGUUUCAAACAACGGAGCAGAAUUUUUCACGGACACUGAGACACUUGUUUACACGUUGCAACCACGUUUCGACUCUCGUCGACUACGUUUUCCUAAUAUUUUAUCGUCGUUUAGAGCUUACCGAGAAGCGCGUACAUCCACGUCGUCGCCGGCGACGAGGAAGCGGCGUCAUCCUCGAGGAGCGCAGAAGGCCUCACGCCUUCCCUCCUCUCAACCGAUGCCCUCGUGCUUCGAGGGUGCCUCUUCGACGACGACGAGGUCGUGCCGCUCGCGGACCACUGAGUCGAAUAUCGCGAGUUCUUCGAUGCUACCACGUGCUAUCGAAAGAAGAGGCGGCCACCUCGAGAACCAUACGAUACACGAGGAACGCCACAACCGUUGGCAACCUUCGCGAUCGUUUACCGUGCCACUACUGUUCCAUUAGAGAGGUGGUGGUUGUAGUGGUGGUAGCAAACGACUUUACGAACUCACGCGCACUCUUCACCCGAGGCGGCAAACGAAUACUGAGCGCGGGUGGUGGUAGUGAUGGUGGUGGUGGACUAGCUGGAGGUGGAAGUGGAACAACACCGAUGAUAGAUCCUGACGCAAUACGGAUUACCGCUGUUCUGGACCACGUGCUCUUCUGGCCCACCGCAGCAGAGCCACAAGAAGCUUUUAAUCUUCGUUACAAUGACAUCAACAAGUCUUUUGUCUUUCAAGGAGACCUUUACAUAUCAGAGGCAAAACAAAAUUCACGCGAUUAAAAUUAUCACAAUCUUCAUUUAUGCGUUUACACAUCCACUUUUAAAGCUUCGAAAUUUUCAUAUUUCUAAAUCUCUGGAACUAAUUUCCGUGUUAAGAGCUACCAAAUUUUCCAAAUCUCCGAAACAACGAACACUUUGAAAAUUCGCGGCAAAUCGAGACACGAGGAAAUAGACCACGCGGUCGCGUGUCGCCGGCGCAAGUGGGAGUGACUAAAACCGCCCUACACCUCGGCGCUUAUACAGCGUCGAUGUCGAUGGUACCGUGAUCAUCAUACGCAGGUCUAAUCCCUCGGCAAGGUUCAACAGGAAACCAAUAAGGUUUUCGCGCAAUCACUUCAUCGGAAUCGCUCAAAAUUUGUUUCGAAAGCUACGACUUCCUUUUUCGAUUGUU
This 1488-nucleotide unclassified non-coding RNA is filed under the name Bombus terrestris (buff-tailed bumblebee). RNAcentral describes it as "misc RNA ENSBTSG00005028244.1". The record is from RNAcentral. Lineage: Eukaryota; Metazoa; Arthropoda; Insecta; Hymenoptera; Apidae.